RNAcentral lists this ribosomal RNA (644 nucleotides) under uncultured bacterium. RNAcentral describes it as "bacterial SSU rRNA". It matches the Rfam family "Bacterial small subunit ribosomal RNA", at positions 97 to 726 of the family's 1533-position model. The record is from RNAcentral.
GGCGGACGGGUGAGUAACACGUGGGCAACCUGCCUGUAAGAUUGGGAUAACCCCGGGAAACCGGAGCUAAUACCGAAUAAUACUUUUUAUCACAUGGUAAGAAGUUGAAAGGCGGCUUUUGCUGUCACUUACAGAUGGGCCCGCGGCGCAUUAGCUAGUUGGUGGGGUAAUGGCCUACCAAGGCGACGAUGCGUAGCCGACCUGAGAGGGUGAUCGGCCACACUGGGACUGAGACACGGCCCAGACUCCUACGGGAGGCAGCAGUAGGGAAUCUUCCGCAAUGGACGAAAGUCUGACGGAGCAACGCCGCGUGAGUGAUGAAGGUUUUCGGAUCGUAAAACUCUGUUGUUAGGGAAGAACAAGUACCGUUCGAAUAGGGCGGUGCCAUGACGGUACCUAACCAGAAAGCCCCGGCUAACUACGUGCCAGCAGCCGCGGUAAUACGUAGGGGGCAAGCGUUGUCCGGAAUUAUUGGGCGUAAAGCGCUCGCAGGCGGUCUUUUAAGUCUGAUGUGAAAGCCCACGGCUCAACCGUGGAGGGUCAUUGGAAACUGGAGGACUUGAGUACAGAAGAGGAGAGUGGAAUUCCACGUGUAGCGGUGAAAUGCGUAGAGAUGUGGAGGAACACCAGUGGCGAAGGCGACU